AAGCAGGGGAUCGUAAGACCUUGCGCUUUUGGAGUGGCCGAUGCCUGAUUAGCUAGUUGGUGGGGUAAGGGCCUACCAAGGCAACGAUCAGUAGUUGGUCUGAGAGGACGACCAGCCACACUGGGACUGAGACACGGCCCAGACUCCUACGGGAGGCAGCAGUGGGGAAUUUUGGACAAUGGGCGAAAGCCUGAUCCAGCAAUGCCGCGUGAGUGAAGAAGGCCUUCGGGUUGUAAAGCUCUUUCAGUCGAGAAGAAAAGGUUGUGACUAAUAAUCACAACUUAUGACGGUACCGACAGAAGAAGCACCGGCUAACUACGUGCCAGCAGCCGCGGUAAUACGUAGGGUGCGAGCGUUAAUCGGAAUUACUGGGCGUAAAGGGUGCGCAGGCGGCUUUGUAAGUCAGAUGUGAAAUCCCCGGGCUUAACCUGGGAAUUGCGUUUGAAACUACAAGGCUUAG
Molecule: ribosomal RNA, 460 nt
Filed under: uncultured ammonia-oxidizing beta proteobacterium
Lineage: Bacteria; Pseudomonadati; Pseudomonadota; Betaproteobacteria
Description: bacterial SSU rRNA
Rfam family: Bacterial small subunit ribosomal RNA
Source: RNAcentral